This 439-nucleotide ribosomal RNA is filed under the name uncultured organism. RNAcentral describes it as "bacterial SSU rRNA". It matches the Rfam family "Bacterial small subunit ribosomal RNA", at positions 56 to 527 of the family's 1533-position model. The record is from RNAcentral.
UGCAGUCGAGCGGUACAGAGAUAGCUUGCUAUCUGCUGACGAGCGGCGGACGGGUGAGUAAUGCUUGGGAAUCUGCCUAGUAGUGGGGGAUAACUCGGAGAAAUCCGAGCUAAUACCGCAUACGCCCUACGGGGGAAAGAUUUAUCGCUAUUAGAUGAGCCCAAGUCAGAUUAGCUAGUUGGUAGGGUAAUGGCCUACCAAGGCGACGAUCUGUAGCUGGUCUGAGAGGACGAACAGCCACACUGGGACUGAGACACGGCCCAGACUCCUACGGGAGGCAGCAGUGGGGAAUAUUGGACAAUGGGCGAAAGCCUGAUCCAGCAAUGCCGCGUGUGUGAAGAAGGCCUGCGGGUUGUAAAGCACUUUCAGUUGGGAAGAUUAUGACGUUACCAACAGAAGAAGCACCGGCUAACUCCGUGCCAGCAGCCGCGGUAAUACG